Molecule: ribosomal RNA, 521 nt
Filed under: uncultured bacterium
Lineage: Bacteria
Description: bacterial SSU rRNA
Rfam family: Bacterial small subunit ribosomal RNA
Source: RNAcentral
AGAGUUUGAUCCUGGCUCAGAUUGAACGCUGGCGGAAUGCUUUACACAUGCAAGUCGAACGGCAGCACGGACUUCGGUCUGGUGGCGAGUGGCGAACGGGUGAGUAAUGUAUCGGAACGUGCCCAGUCGUGGGGGAUAACGUAGUGAAAAUUACGCUAAUACCGCAUACGAUCUAUGGAUGAAAGCGGGGGAUCGCAAGACCUCGCGCGAUUGGAGCGGCCGAUAUCAGAUUAGGUAGUUGGUGGGGUAAAGGCCCACCAAGCCAACGAUCUGUAGCUGGUCUGAGAGGACGACCAGCCACACUGGAACUGAGACACGGUCCAGACUCCUACGGGAGGCAGCAGUGGGGAAUUUUGGACAAUGGGCGCAAGCCUGAUCCAGCCAUUCCGCGUGCAGGACGAAGGCCUUCGGGUUGUAAACUGCUUUUGUACAGAACGAAAAGCCUUGGGUUAAUACCCUGGGGUCAUGACGGUACUGUAAGAAUAAGCACCGGCUAACUACGUGCCAGCAGCCGCGGUAAU